GACGAACGCUGGCGGCGUGCUUAACACAUGCAAGUCGAACGGAAAGGCCCUGCUUUUGUGGGGUGCUCGAGUGGCGAACGGGUGAGUAACACGUGAGUAACCUUCCCUUGACUUUGGGAUAACUUCAGGAAACUGGGGCUAAUACCGGAUAGGAGCUCCUGCUGCAUGGGGGGGGUUGGAAAGUUUCGGCUGUUGGGGAUGGACUCGCGGCUUAUCAGCUUGUUGGUGGGGUAGUGGCUUACCAAGGCUUUGACGGGUAGCCGGCCUGAGAGGGUGACCGGCCACAUUGGGACUGAGAUACGGCCCAGACUCCUACGGGAGGCAGCAGUGGGGAAUAUUGCACAAUGGGCGGAAGCCUGAUGCAGCAACGCCGCGUGCGGGAUGACGGCCUUCGGGUUGUAAACCGCUUUCGCCUGUGACGAAGCGUGAGUGACGGUAAUGGGUAAAGAAGCACCGGCUAACUACGUG
This 468-nucleotide ribosomal RNA is filed under the name uncultured bacterium. RNAcentral describes it as "partial 16S ribosomal RNA". It matches the Rfam family "Bacterial small subunit ribosomal RNA", at positions 28 to 507 of the family's 1533-position model. The record is from RNAcentral.